RNAcentral lists this ribosomal RNA (459 nucleotides) under uncultured bacterium. Its description in RNAcentral is "partial 16S ribosomal RNA". It matches the Rfam family "Bacterial small subunit ribosomal RNA", at positions 338 to 795 of the family's 1533-position model. The record is from RNAcentral.
CCUACGGGAGGCAGCAGUGAGGAAUAUUGGUCAAUGGCCGAGAGGCUGAACCAGCCAAGUCGCGUGAGGGAAGACUGUCCUAUGGAUUGUAAACCUCUUUUGUCAGGGAGCAAAGUCACCCACGUGUGGGUGCUGGAGAGUACCUGAAGAAAAAGCAUCGGCUAACUCCGUGCCAGCAGCCGCGGUAAUACGGAGGAUGCGAGCGUUAUCCGGAUUUAUUGGGUUUAAAGGGUGCGUAGGCGGGUUAUCAAGUCAGCGGUAAAAUCGUGGAGCUCAACUCCAUCCAGCCGUUGAAACUGAUGUUCUUGAGUGGGCGAGAAGUAUGCGGAAUGCGUGGUGUAGCGGGGAAAUGCAUAGAUAUCACGCAGAACUCCGAUUGCGAAGGCAGCAUACCGGCGCCCGACUGACGCUGAAGCACGAAAGCGUGGGUAUCGAACAGGAUUAGAUACCCUAGUAGUC